Molecule: ribosomal RNA, 423 nt
Filed under: uncultured eukaryotic phytoplankton
Lineage: Eukaryota
Description: bacterial SSU rRNA
Rfam family: Bacterial small subunit ribosomal RNA
Source: RNAcentral
GGAAUUUUCCGCAAUGGGCGAAAGCCUGACGGAGCAAUACCGCGUGAGGGAAGACUGCCUAUGGGUUGUAAACCUCUUUUUUCAGGGAGGAAUAAAUGACGUGUACCUGAAGAAUAAGCAUCGGCUAACUCCGUGCCAGCAGCCGCGGUAAGACGGAGGAUGCAAGUGUUAUCCGGAAUCACUGGGCGUAAAGCGUCUGUAGGUGGUUGUUUAAGUCAACUGUUAAAUCUUGAGGCUCAACUUCAAAAUCGCAGUCGAAACUAUUCAACUAGAGUAUAGUAGGGGUAAAGGGAAUUUCCAGUGGAGCGGUGAAAUGCGUAGAUAUUGGAAAGAACACCGAUGGCGGAGGCACUUUACUGGGCUAUUACUAACACUCAGAGACGAAAGCUAGGGUAGCAAAUGGGAUUAGAUACCCCAGUAGUC